Long non-coding RNA from Lineus longissimus, 1408 nucleotides. RefSeq lists it as uncharacterized. The transcript is spliced from 3 exons. The record is from RefSeq and is a predicted model, not a curated record. NCBI's taxonomy places the organism in Eukaryota, Metazoa, Nemertea, Pilidiophora, Heteronemertea, Lineidae.
UUGUAAUCUUACUCUCUAUAUACCAAAGUGAUUUACCUAGGAAUACAGUUGCACUUCACUGAAAACUAAUGAUGUGUUGAUGAGUUCAAUGAAUCCUUCGAUUCCUUUGGUUUUCUUGGCGAACUGACGUCCGACAAUCAAUGACCCGUUGACGUGUACCUGCAAUACGCCAUUGCCGUAGUGACUGUGUAAACAGAUCUAUUUUUGGACGAAACUCAGCCCCUCACAAACUUUGGUCCAUUUCGCCAAUGAUGACACUGCUUCUAGACUGUACCACAGCACUUUAAGCUGUAGCAGCGCUAAGCAAGAGUCAAGACAAAUGUCCGCUGCCAGCCGCUGCUGGACCAACCCCCUCGCCCGCCCCCCAUCAUGAUAUCAGAUUCAGAGGCCUGGCUGAGCCCUGUGAUUUAGCCAAAUUCAAUAUGAUUCUUUUCUACUGUGAUGUUAAGGCCCUUGUGUCAUGCAGCGUAUUCGGUAGCACCGGUACACAACUUAUGUUAAACCGCGACGUCUGCUGCAAUUCAAAUUGCAUAUGACGCCAACGGAAUUGUGACGACUUGUUUCUCAAAUCUUUUAGUGAACAGUGAUCACGGGCUGUGGGAAUUGCGAAGGGAUGGUGUAGAGUAUCGCCACAACAAUGUUGAUAUGAUCACUCGUCGUUUCAGCGGGCAUGACUUGGUACAUCCAGUGACCCAGCAAAAAGUAGCCCUGGUACAGCCAGAAGUAGCAACAAAUCGCAAAAGGGGAUCCUUGUCUGACUGGUGGCUGGACAACAAUGACACUUGUUGGAAAAGGAAGGACCAAAGGUGCCAUCGUCGAGGGCCCAGAUACAUGAAGAGAUUAAAGCCUGGGCUGCACACAAUCCUGUUAGUAACAAAAAAAGAAGGAAAAAAUGCUGUCCCAUUUGUCCAUAUGCCCAGCGCCAGAACCCAUUUAUACAUCUGGGUAGUGAGAAAAUCUAGGAAGAAGUCGCCACCCACUGAUGAUCUCAUCCAAGUUUACCAAAGACUCCAAAGCAGUGCAGGAGAGGAAUGGUGGCCUGUUCGAACAGGCAUGGACUGAAUCGCCAGCUCUCAUCUCCCUAGUCACUCCGAUGGCCACGUGUCGCUCCUCGAUCAACAGCGAUUUCAAUAAAUGAUGCGUUGAUGUGGGCAAAAAGUGAAUCCUUUCUCGCCUUUGAACUCUGGUGUUCGUCAUAUCAAUCCAUUUUGAUUGUCGAGCAACUUGUGGGCACACCUCAACUUGUUAGUGGGAAGUAAUUUGCAAUAGAGUGACUUACUUUUAUUGCUGUAUUUUUUCACUUCACAUCAUUGUUAUUUUGAAAAAGCCUGCCAAAAUUCUGUUGACUGUUUGUUGUCGACAAGAGUCUAUGUUUCAUGAAUAACAAGGCUGUGUUCUGUACAUUGUA